RNAcentral lists this long non-coding RNA (525 nucleotides) under Vitis vinifera (wine grape). RNAcentral's name for it is "long non-coding RNA (VVIN_LNC001028)". The record is from RNAcentral. Lineage: Eukaryota; Viridiplantae; Streptophyta; Magnoliopsida; Vitales; Vitaceae.
UGAUAAUUAUUGUUUUCAUAUACUUUGAUAAUUUCUGCUAUGAUAACUAGAUAACGAGCAUGCUAGGAUUUCUAUAUUUUAUUAUUUAUUAUCUAACCCCUUACAACUUGAGGAAGCACGUUACAAAUUAUCUAUGCUAUCCAGGUAUGUCCUCUAUCAUCUACUUUCUGAAUUCUGUGAAUAUGCUUGUCAUUGUGAAAUAAUACUUAUGUCUAAUAAUGCUUGAGUGUCCUGAUAUGCAUGUUUCAUUGUUUGAUUAUUUCCAAUAAAAUACAUGUUGGAUGAUAUAUUGUUUAAAUUAACCGUUUAUGUUUUAUGAUAGCGCUUGAAGAGCGGUUCAGGUACGCACCCUAACUCUCCUUUAUUGUGAUUUGAUCUUGUUUAACAUGCAACUUUUUUUUAAAUCACCUAGCCUACUUAGGUAUCCAUGAUCAACCAUUUAAUUGUCAUGCUUUCCUUAACUUAGUCAGUAGAGACCUCUUUAGGGCUUAGAGGGGUCCUACCUCCUAGAGGUACCUUCCCAAU